Frankliniella occidentalis (western flower thrips) is the source of this 1075-nucleotide long non-coding RNA. RefSeq lists it as uncharacterized. Lineage: Eukaryota; Metazoa; Arthropoda; Insecta; Thysanoptera; Thripidae. The transcript is spliced from 2 exons. The record is from RefSeq and is a predicted model, not a curated record.
UGCUGGACCGUUUGGCGUGCAUGGGGCUGAUCUCUCGGUUUUAAUUACAGGGGAUAAAGGUUCGGCGGCCGGCGGCGUUCAAUGGCGCCUCUGCUGCUGCUGGGCUUGGCGUGAGCGGAGGGGAGAGACGGGGAGAGAGAGGGGAGAGGGAGACCGGCUUGUUGUCUCUGCUGAUCAGCUUUGCGUUAUUCUUGUUUUACAGACCAGCGGCGCUGGCGGGUCUGCUGGACUCGGCUGCUCGGACGGACAAGUCUACAGGGACAGCCCGUGCUGCUGCUGCGGUUGAGGCGGCCGCAAACGAGCUGGAGGUCAAGGUUGUCCUUCCUGUGGUGACUACGGGAAGCCAGCUGGUGGUGCAGUGCACAACAGCGAGCAGAUCGGCGAGCCACCAGAGAAGGGGUUUUCGGGACUUUCCCCGACCGCGUGGACUCAACAAACCACACCGCGGAGGAUCACCAUACCCCUCCAAUGGACAACGACCGCCGCGCCGACCACAGCACCCGCACACCGGCUAAAGGAGGACCACACCAGCCCAGUGGACGUCGGCGCCGCACAGGGUCGUCUCUCGCCUCCUUGUCAUUCUCGUGUCCGGUUGUGCAUUCAACUUACUGGACGGAGAACUGAUAAGGGCGCGUGUGAUCCCUUCCUCCCUUCAUCUCUCUCUCUCUCUCUCUCUCCGGACGGGCUGCGGCCGCGCCCGCACCCCCUGCCGCAGCCACCCCCGCGAGCGUGUUUCGAGGGAUCAAACGGCCCAGCACUCGGCUAUUCACGUGGGGAGCCUCUCCUGACUCGCCCCGCGCGCCACACAGCAGCGCCAGUCCUCGCGGCUCGAGGGACACAUUCAUGGUGGUGGCGGGGUGAGUGGAAUCGAGCUGAGGGGUGCGUUUCUCCGCCCCCCCCCCCCUCUCUCUCUCUCUCUCAUUGCGUCGCUCUCUCUCACUCGGUCUCUCGGCAAUAUAUAUAGAGUCACAUCCUGGAGAGUGCAUCGCAUAUCAUGUCCUGUUGAUUCAAUUUCAAUUUCAUGUAUGUUAUGUAAUGAAUGAAACCUGAAAUAAAUCUUGCAUGUUGCCAUCUA